GAUGAAGAACGUAGCGAAAUGCGAUAAGUAAUGUGAAUUGCAGAAUUCAGUGAAUCAUUGAAUCUUUGAACGCACAUUGCGCCCGCCAGUAUUCUGGCGGGCAUGCCUGUUCGAGCGUCAUUUCAACCCUCAGGCCCCCAGUGCCUGGUGUUGGGGAUCGGCCCAGCCUUCCUGUAAGGCCGCCGGCCCCGAAAUCUAGUGGCGGUCUCGCUGUAGUCCUCCUCUGCGUAGUAGCACAACCUCGCAGUUGGAACGCGGCGGUGGCCAUGCCGUUAAACACCCCACUUCUGAAAGUUGACCUCGGAUCAGGUAGGAAUACCCGCUGAACUUAAGCAUAUCAAUAAGCGGAGGA
RNAcentral lists this unclassified non-coding RNA (352 nucleotides) under soil metagenome. RNAcentral's name for it is "partial contains 5.8S ribosomal RNA, internal transcribed spacer 2, and large subunit ribosomal RNA". The stretch from base 1 to 120 matches the Rfam family "5.8S ribosomal RNA", at positions 35 to 154 of the family's 154-position model. The record is from RNAcentral.